GACGAACGCUGGCGGCGUGCUUAACACAUGCAAGUCGAACGGAAAGGCCCCUUUGGGGGUACUCGAGUGGCGAACGGGUGAGUAACACGUGAGUAACCUGCCCUUUACUUCGGGAUAACUUCAGGAAACUGGGGCUAAUACCGGAUAGGAAUCCUUGCUGCAUGGUGGGGGUUGGAAAGCUUCGGCGGUUUUGGAUGGACUCGCGGCUUAUCAGCUUGUUGGUGGGGUAGUGGCUUACCAAGGCUUUGACGGGUAGCCGGCCUGAGAGGGCGACCGGCCACAUUGAGACUGAGAUACGGCCCAGACGCCUACGGGAGGCAGCAGUGGGGAAUAUUGCACAAUGGGCGGAAGCCUGAUGCAGCAACGCCGCGUGCGGGAUGACGGCCUUCGGGUUGUAAACCGCUUUCAGCAGGGGCGAAGCUUGUGGUGACGGUACCUGCAGAAGAAGCACCGGCUAACUACGUG
This 465-nucleotide ribosomal RNA is filed under the name uncultured bacterium. RNAcentral's name for it is "partial 16S ribosomal RNA". It matches the Rfam family "Bacterial small subunit ribosomal RNA", at positions 28 to 507 of the family's 1533-position model. The record is from RNAcentral.